Molecule: ribosomal RNA, 499 nt
Filed under: uncultured bacterium
Lineage: Bacteria
Description: partial 16S ribosomal RNA
Rfam family: Bacterial small subunit ribosomal RNA
Source: RNAcentral
GAUGAACGCUGGCGGCGUGCCUAACACAUGCAAGUCGAACGGAAAGACGAUAGUGUUUUGCCUUUCUGGAGUGAGCGGCGGGUGGGUGAGACGUAUGUAUCUGACCCUUCUCUUUGGGUGGGGUUAACGUAGGGAAGCGUAAUACAAUACGGAAUAUCCUUCGCCGGGGAUGGAGUAGGAGAGUUGGACCGUUCUGGUGUCAAUUAGAGGCGGACCCGCUGUGUAUUAGGUGGUUGGCGGGGUAACGGUCCAACGGGGCGGCGAUUUGUAGGCGAGCUGGGAGGGUGAUCGGCCACACUAGAAGUGGGACACGGCCCAGACUCCUACGGGAGGCAGCAGUAGGGAAUGGUAGGCAAUGGUCGGAAGUCUGACGCAGCAGUGCCGCGUGAGUGAAGAAGGCGUUCGGUGCGUAAAGCCCGGUUGUGGGGUAAGAACAGCUACAGUAGUAGCCGAAGCUAUCGUGACGGUACCUUACCAAGAAGCACCGGCUAACUACGUG